This 62-nucleotide microRNA precursor is filed under the name Saccoglossus kowalevskii. Its description in RNAcentral is "Sko-Mir-29-P1_pre stem-loop". The record is from RNAcentral. Lineage: Eukaryota; Metazoa; Hemichordata; Enteropneusta; Harrimaniidae.
CCUGAUUUCAAACGGUGGAUAGAUUCCAUAGCAACAGUCUAGCACCAUUUGAAAUCAGUGUU